UAUAUGUAUGUAUGUAUAUGUAUGUAUUUGCUUCAUGAUUUUGCAUAUACUUAUUGGAGGAAACUGGGGAAGUUUUACAUACAUGGAGGAAUUACCAAAUCGUGUACAACUAGAAUACAAAAGAAAGGGGUAUGGGAAGCAAAGGUUGUAAUAUAUAACGUAUAGCAGAUAGUGACUCAAGGUGACAACAUUUGUUGGAUGCAUAUGCUAAUCAUGCUAUCUAUUUAAAGAUCUUCUGGUAAACGACGAUGCCUCAUCCAUUGCUCAACAUCGCGGCCUCUGAGUUGCAUUUCUAGCCUUCUGCAAGUGAUAGGUAUUAUACUACAAUUGGCAAGACAUCAAAUUAUUCAUGAGCUGUCACUGCAGAGAUUGUCCAAUUAGCAGAGGCAGGAUCCUGAAUAAUCUGGGAAUAUACUGCACAAGGAUCGCUGCACGCAGAAGAUUCUUUGCAUAGUUUGCUCCUGAUGCCCC
Long non-coding RNA from Vigna umbellata (rice bean), 471 nucleotides. RefSeq lists it as uncharacterized. Lineage: Eukaryota; Viridiplantae; Streptophyta; Magnoliopsida; Fabales; Fabaceae. The record is from RefSeq and is a predicted model, not a curated record.